ACGUAGGGGGCAAGCGUUGCUCGGAAUUACUGGGCGUAAAGGGUGUGUAGGCCGCUCACUAAGUUAAGGAUGAAAUCCCCAGGAUAAAAGAAGGAACUGUCCUUGAUACUGGUCAGCUUGAGGCUAGUAAAGGAGAGCGGAAUUCCCGGUGGAGCGGUGAAAUGCGUAGAUAUCGGGAGGAACACCAGAGGCGUAGGCGGUUCUCUAGGCUAGUCCUGACACUGAGACACGAAAGCUAGGGGAGCAAACGG
RNAcentral lists this ribosomal RNA (251 nucleotides) under uncultured prokaryote. RNAcentral's name for it is "partial 16S rRNA". It matches the Rfam family "Bacterial small subunit ribosomal RNA", at positions 525 to 775 of the family's 1533-position model. The record is from RNAcentral.